CUGAUCUACCAGUACAAAAGCUGGUAUAAACCCAUAAGACGAGAAGACCCUGCGGAGCUUUUAAGUACCGCGCUACAUAAAAUCAAAACGAACCCUACAAGGAUUACCAUUAGCCAGAUAGCGUUACACUUUAAGUUGGGGCAACUGCGGAGAAAAACAAAACCUCCAUGAAAACAGGCUAAAAGCCACUACGAUACAUACAAGUAAACUAGUAUAUAAAUUGACCCAGCAUUGCUGAUCACCGAACCAAGUUACCCCAGGGAUAACAGCGCCAUCCCCCUCAAGAGUCCAUAUCGCCAGGGGGGCUUACGACCUCGAUGUUGGAUCAGGACACCCAGAUGGUGUAGCCGCUAUCAAUGGUUCGUUUGUUCAACGAUUAAUGUCCUACGUGAU
RNAcentral lists this ribosomal RNA (393 nucleotides) under Afroedura sp. AN-1. Its description in RNAcentral is "partial 16S ribosomal RNA". It matches the Rfam family "Bacterial large subunit ribosomal RNA", at positions 2042 to 2604 of the family's 2925-position model. Lineage: Eukaryota; Metazoa; Chordata; Lepidosauria; Squamata; Gekkonidae. The record is from RNAcentral.